Molecule: long non-coding RNA, 228 nt
Filed under: Elaeis guineensis (African oil palm)
Lineage: Eukaryota; Viridiplantae; Streptophyta; Magnoliopsida; Arecales; Arecaceae
Description: long non-coding RNA (EGUI_LNC042071)
Source: RNAcentral
CACAUGGGGUUAUUUUAUGUCAGCGUGGUUUACACAUUCUUAAUCAUUAUGAUCUCUAUCAUGAUUUGGAAGAAUCCACUGCUCAUAUUGUUUUAUAUAGUAAAUUGGCUACUCAUAUUUGGAGAAUGGCCCCAAUUUCUAACACUUGGACUAUCUCUGCACUUUUUUUGGAUGAUUUUCUUCAUAUAGUCAGAGAAAGAUCGAAUAAAGAUAGUCCACAAUCAAAUG